GGGGAAGCGAGAAGUUUCCUUCACUAAUCCAGUCUCAGUUUGGAUUGGUAAGCAGUGCUGGACUCAUUGUUGGAGGGGUUAGGUGCAGGUAAUGCGAAGGGACUUCAAGACUCUCAUUGUCAGCUGCUGCUCUCUAGAGAACCAGGAAAGAGGCUGAUGUGCCAAACAUUAAAUCUAAAGUUAACACAUCAUCUGGUAAUGUAGAUUCAAUUAGGUUUGUUAUUUUAAACUUGCUUUUAUCUGGCGCAGAGAGUGCAGGGGAGAUGUGGGAGGGAGCUAGCAAGGAAUUAAUAUCCCCCCCCCCCCCCCCCCCCCCCCCCCCCCCCACAAAGAUAUUUUUUUAAUAUCAGGCUAAUAAUGUUCAUGAUUCUUAAACGUGUCCUUGGUUUAGGAGCAAUUAGGAAUGACCAUUAAUACUGGCAUUGUCAUCCAGGCCAAAUCCUAUAAAUGAAUAUAGAAAGAUAUCAAUGGAGGGUCCUUGUCACGAACAUCGAGCCCAGUGGCUGAUACUCAUCAGGCUAUCUACAAAUCCUCAAUCUUAUCCAAAGCCUUACCAUUAAAAUGUAACUAUCUUUAGCUGGAGGUGGGCAAGGUGGACUCCUGUUCAGUGGACUCUUCCUCUUCCUUGUGCUUCACUCCGUUAGUUAAAAAAGCUGGGCUAAAAACCUCUUCAAUGGCUGGGCUUUGGGAGCAGGGAAAGGAACGUAUGCUGAUCCUAACCAUGCAACCAUCAGUUCUCAGAUUGGGAGAAAUGCUGAGAUGACAGUUUUGUGACUUGCCCUUUGCAAUGUCGACUAGCUCAUAUUUUCAUGGUAAUUCUGAUUGGACAUUGCCAACCGAAGCAACUAGCCCACAUUGUGCAGGUGGGAACUGCAGAUGCCGGUUUAAACCGAAGAUAAGACACAAAAAGCUGGAGUAACUCAGCGGGUCAGGCAGCAUCUCUGGAGAAAAGGAAUAGGUGACGUUUCUGGUCGAAAACAGUCUACAUUAACUGUUAAAACUUCCAGUAUUUUCCCUGUCAGAGUGAGCUUUUGUUUUGCUAAAUACAAGUCUACAUGUUUGAGAACUCCACGUUUUACUUCUUUAAUAGAUUUUGAAAAUAUAAACUUCAGUCAUAUCCAUCUACGGAGGAAUAAUCUUCCUCAGUUUACAAGUACAAAUAGUUACCUCAUCAGUCAUCCGAUUCCCAGCAGGAGCUGUUGCUUCUGACUAGGCAACAUGAUUUACUCCUUGGAGUUCUCUAAAUUGCCUGCCCACUUCACAACCACUUAUGUGCACUCAGCAUGAAGCAUAGCCUUCUCUAGUUCACCCUUUGGCUGCCAAACUAGUUCAGGGACAUGAGGCUCAAAUGCCUCGAGCUGCUAUCCUCUUUGCAGGUGGUCCAGGAGGAUGUCAUUACCUUCCUCCUCAAUCUGCAACACCAACGUCUGUAGAUAAGAACUGACCACAACCAUAAAUAUUCAUUGCAUCCUGCCUCUUUGUGAAACGUUUGGUCCAGAGAUGUUGCCAACUGGAUGGGAAUUCCAGGAAUUUGGGGUGUGGAGGAGAGAUAACAAUUUGAGUAGUACAAGCAGGCAACUUGCCACUGUUAUUACACACCAAGUGGGAAACUGUGGCCAGUUACAAGGAGAUGUUUCAAUUGUGAGUGCGACUCCAUUUGUAUUUAACCAUCCCGGCAGUGUUUUUCAAGGUAUUUUUUACACUGUUUCUGCCAGCCUGCCUAUCUAUCCACGUUAAACAUAACUCGCUGGUUCUCUCUGCCAGGCUGCUCACUUGCAAGUGCUCAUGAGAGGUGGGAAGGAGCCGAGAACUAGCAGUAAGAGUUAAAGCUGUCUGACAUUUAUUGUACCCUUCCCCUACCAGCAGAUACACCAGCCACCAUGUUGAGCCACUGCAGUAUUUGGUUGGGAAGACGCAGGACUUUGAUCCCUGUCAGCCACGACGGGGAUUUAUGCUGUCAGAUCAAAGAUACUCAUCAGCAAACCAUGCCAUCAACCAAAAGGAAAGACAAUAUCUGUCUCCACCUAUUGAGAUCUCUGAAUCAUCUGCUCAAGGCUAGUCUUAAAGCCUGAAAGGUGGAUAGAGUGGAAUAGCUAAUAAAGUUUGCUGGAAACAUUUAGCCAGUCCAGCAUCGACUGGGAAGAGGGAGUGUUGAUCUUUUGUCAGGCGAAAGGGAGAAAGGUAAGAGAAGUAAGGUUAGUGGGCGAGGCCUUUUAGAUGUACAAUUGUGUUGCCUUUUGGAUGGGAGAGAGUCUAUAGUGAGUCUGGGAGGACAAUAACAAGAUUAUUAAUAGAAAUCGUUUUGUUGUACAUAGUGUACAGUUGUUAGCUCUAACGUGCCUAGAUUUCCUUAAUGUAACAUAACCUAGCAGAAACCAAGUAACAGCCCCUCACUCUAAUAUACACUUAGUGGCUGUUUCACACUACAAUAACCUGAAAAAAAAUUCACAAACUUUUGUAAUUCUGAAGAUUUUCUUAUAUUCAAAAAAAUUAAUAUUUUAUUUAUUUUUAUUAAUGUUAUAGAGAUCACUGUACAGAAUCCCAAUUUACAGUCUACGCAAAACAAAAAAGGUUUAAAGUAUGAAUAUGUAUUAUUGCUGAAAAUGGGGCAGAAGGAUAUGGUGCGAUGUAAUUUUCUGGGACAAUCUACCUCAAUACUUCUAUCAGAUAUGAUGUGUGGAAUUAUUAAUAUUUCACAAUAUUCUGUUCUGAAUCUAAAUGCAUUUUUUCUUGGUGUACAGGGCCGACUGAUGACUGACUUAAUUCAAGUGUAUAUUUCUGUUUUGUUUGGGUGGGUGGGGGGAGGGUGUCCCAUUUUCAAAAGAAAAAGUAAUGAAUCUGUCCACAUGUUCAAAACUGGAAACCCCUGGUCAGAAAGGAAUGGUCACCCAAGAAGGAGAGGGAAUGGUUCCUUGGCUGCACAUGCAGCCUAGAACAGUCAGGUUAAUUUGAAACAAUAAAUAAACUUGCUUUAUGUUUAUAAUAUGCACAACUUUUAGUCACCAAAAGCUCCUGGUGCAUGUGGCCGUGUAGAUUAGGGGGUUACAAAGAUUCACAUAAACACUAAUGAUUUGGAUCAGGGGGUUACAAUCUAGAAACUCUUAUCGCAUCUCGCUCUUAAUAAAAGUGAAGAUGUCAGGAACGGGAGGGUGCAGACUAAAAAUCAGGGUGAAGUAAUCAUACUUCAUAGAUCUCACUCCAAGCUCUCGAUGCCCGAUCCAUAACAUGAGGAAAAACGGCCUCAAAUUUGACCCCAGCUUGGCGGAGCAUUGGUAGAAGAAACUACUUAUCAAUCUCAAACGAAGGCACAAGUAUUCAGAUACUUGUCUGUUAGCGGGAGAUUCUUGAUCUUACCCCCCCCCUCCCUUUUAAAAAAAAAAACUUGUGAAAGUGAUAUCAACAGAAAUAUUAAAAGUUGACGUUGCAUUGGUCAGAGUGUGGGAAUCGGUCGGCACUCUACACCUCAGGCUGUGCUGUGAUCUCCAACAGCUUCGUAAAGAAGAGGGUGAAACUUUAGGAACCAGGCAGUCCAUACACAACACCUACACUACCAGUAGAUGUGGUUAUUGUUCCUUCACAAUGAACAUUGUAAUCAUCGGUGUAUGUAAAGACUUGCUCCAAAAAUCCUUCUCAUUAUUCAUUGCUGCUAUACACCCUUGCUCCAGUUAUACAUCGCCACUACGAGGACUUGUUCAGUAUUUUUCCCCAACCCGCGUAUGGUUGUGACAUACCUAGCAUUGGUAAGAGAUUCCUCAACAGUGGAAACUUGUGUGCCAUUGAAAUUGUGCUGUGCCAUAUAAUCAGAAUGCCAAGACAGAUCAUCACAGCAAAAAAUUUAUUUAUCAGUUUUUUUUUAAUUAUGCAGGGAAAGGAAUACAGUAUGAUUGAUGUUUGAACAAGUAUAAUGUUAUGAAAUCCUAGACUCAAAUUCUCAAUACGGUGCUAACCCUCGAGUUUAGAGGCUAGUAGAUUUUAGUGAAAAGAAAAACUCGCUACCUUCUGAUCUUAGGAGAUAUUCAGGUGCCACAAACUAUCUGAAGGUGCAAUUAUUUUUGGUCACAUUUUUGUAAACACAGUACAGCAUCCGAAGUGGGGAAAGCUAAAGUAAUAUUAAAAAUCUGCAAUUUGAAAACAAUUUUUUUUGCUGAAACGGGUCAUUGCUUCAUUUGAGGGAACAACAGUCAGGACUGUAACACGACUGAGCCAUUCUCCUCAUUGUGUAUAGGAGACAAAAAUAUAUCAGUGGUCCUGUCUCACAUAAGUCAGAUAAUUAGGUUAACCCCAAUAUAAAGAUACAAGAGGCAACAGAUGCUGGAAUCUGGAGGGGAAAAAUACUUGAAAAUGGAUGGGGCAGCCUCUGAAUGCACACAAAACGUUUACCCGCAAACUCCAUGAGUUCCUGGUACAAUUAUGCAUCUCAAAUGUACUAAACAAAUUGGGUGACCAAAUCUAAAAUACCACUUUGUUGGGUAAAAUCAUUAAAUUGCUGUAAGAACUCAAUAGGUCAAGCAGCAUCAGUGGAUUAGGAUUGUGCCUUUGAGAUGUAUAAUUUUGUGAGGAAUUUGCAGGAAUUAUUCCUUUCAACAAGAGCGGUUAUAGAUAAAAAAUAAUUUCUUAAUAAUGUAAAUCAUGCAAAAUAAAUAUAAACAAGUUAGGUUUUUUUUAAUAGACAAAUCUUGAACUAAUCAGAUUGUAGACAGAACUUCCAGCAGAGACUAGUCUGUUGAUUGAUCAGAGAUGCACACAAUAGUGAUGUUCAAUAGAGAUCUGGAACAAGAGGGCUUCAUGGCCAAUUUAAAGAUUCUUUCUAGUGGAGACAAAAAAUAAUUGUUGGUAACAAUGCAAUGGGACUUUUUAUUUGCACAACAUUUGUCUCUUUAUUGGAGUGUUUCAUGAUUGGAUUCCAACAGACUAAAGCUCCAGGUACCACAUUUUUUGGCAUCUGAUUAGAAUGGCAAUGUUGUGAAUUUCACUAUUUCGUGAUGUUACACAAGUGUUCUUAACCAUGUUUUGGGGACAAUUAUCUUUUGUUCCACUGCCCCUCUAACAUCUGAACAAGUCCUCUCGGCAUUGACUGGAGCAAGGGUAAACCCAUUUAUCAGGGGUGUUUAAUAUGCAAACCAAGCAGGGCCAUGAAAACAGAUUUCCCUUUUUAAUUAUUAACCGUCAUCAUUUUAUUGUGUUUUUUGGCAAGAAUUUAAAUGAAGUGAUUCCGAGCUGAAGGGAGGGUGGGUGCAGUAAGUCUUUAUGCAGGUGUAACAUGUCUUUUGCAAGCUACUUUUAUUUCUCUUGUGCAAGAAGAUAAACAGGGUGGAGACGUAUGGGUAAGCGUAGAGAUUUUGUGCACAAUUUAUUUUUGCAUUUUAAAAUGAGCCUGGGAAGAAGUGUAAAUAUAAAUCACCGCUGUUCAAAGUGGUCGCUUCUAAAAAAAAAUUAUAUCUGUCUGAUUUCAAAUUAUGCCAGUUAUCACAAGCAAAUGUAUUGGAAUAAACUGUGUUGGCUUUCUGUCUGUAAAUAUAUGUCUGGUGUAAAAUGAAGAAAGUGUGUUUCAUUAGUGAACAGGGUAUUGGCAGGACAACUGUGUGUUAUUUCUGAUCCAGACUUCAAUUGCAGAGUCUUCAAACUGUUACCAGAGCUCAGUGGUGGCCUCCAACAAUAUUUUUCAUUAUCUUUUUGUUUGGGGAAAACUGGAACUUUGGCUGUCUACAUGAAACUGAAGAAAGGCGACCCACUGCAUGCCACGGUAGCCCGUGUACAGUACCGUCCCUGAGCGAGUUGCGACGCAAAGUUAAACACAAAACCUAGAACAAAAAUGGAAUUGCCCUGAGUUUGGGAUUAUCCGGUUGUCUGGUUCCUUUACUUUGUCUGGUUCCUCUAACUCUUGUCUUCAUGUCCGUACUCCAGUGUGAUACUAAAUGUUUUUCCAUUGGCAAAUCCUUCAUUUGGAAGAGACAUUAUAAGCUGUGGACUCCAAAAACAAAAACAAAGUGGACUGCCCUGGACAUUAUAACCUAUUUCUCUCACCUCAACUCCACACACAGGUUGGAUGAGAUAACGAAGAGACAGUACAUCUACUGCACCCGAACUUUUAAACAGCUUUUGUGGACUUAAAGCUGGCUCCUUUCGAGGGCUUGGACGAUCACUUCUUGAAAUUUCAAGUAAAUGGGAGACAAUGAUUUAAUCUUUUCUUUGUGUAUUUUUCGAGGGGGGGAAAAGGCUAAAUUUGAAGUCAGUUGUUAAUACUGUGCUUGGCUUGUUGUUUCUGUAGUAAAAAUGCAAAACUGAUUCUUGAAGGGAAA
This is a long non-coding RNA of Amblyraja radiata (thorny skate), 6299 nucleotides long. RefSeq lists it as uncharacterized. The record is from RefSeq and is a predicted model, not a curated record. The transcript has 2 exons. NCBI's taxonomy places the organism in Eukaryota, Metazoa, Chordata, Chondrichthyes, Rajiformes, Rajidae.